RNAcentral lists this ribosomal RNA (497 nucleotides) under uncultured bacterium. Its description in RNAcentral is "partial 16S ribosomal RNA". It matches the Rfam family "Bacterial small subunit ribosomal RNA", at positions 28 to 507 of the family's 1533-position model. The record is from RNAcentral.
GAUGAACGCUGGCGGCGUGCCUAAUACAUGCAAGUCGAGCGAACAGACGAGGAGCUUGCUCCUCUGACGCUAGCGGCGGACGGGUGAGUAACACGUGGAUAACCUACCUAUAAGACUGGGAUAACUUCGGGAAACCGGAGCUAAUACCGGAUAAUAUAUUGAACCGCAUGGUUCAAUAGUGAAAGACGGUUUUGCUGUCACUUAUAGAUGGAUCCGCGCCGCAUUAGCUAGUUGGUAAGGUAACGGCUUACCAAGGCGACGAUGCGUAGCCGACCUGAGAGGGUGAUCGGCCACACUGGAACUGAGACACGGUCCAGACGCCUACGGGAGGCAGCAGUAGGGAAUCUUCCGCAAUGGGCGGAAGCCUGACGGAGCAACGCCGCGUGAGUGAUGAAGGUCUUCGGAUCGUAAAACUCUGUUAUUAGGGAAGAACAAAUGUGUAAGUAACUAUGCACGUCUUGACGGUACCUAAUCAGAAAGCCACGGCUAACUACGUG